RNAcentral lists this unclassified non-coding RNA (1457 nucleotides) under Hevea brasiliensis (rubber tree). Lineage: Eukaryota; Viridiplantae; Streptophyta; Magnoliopsida; Malpighiales; Euphorbiaceae. The record is from RNAcentral.
CCCCUUCUACGUAUAUUUUGUUACCCCAUUUUUCCUUUUCCUUCAAAAGUAGAUAUGCUAGACCGGAUUGGUCAUCCGAUUCCUGGAAUAUCUUGUCUUUGAAAGUUGUAUGUAAGAUUUCACCCCACUUGUCGUAUUCCGGUGACUGUGGCCCCAUUUUCGCCCAAGUUUCCAUUAAGUCCAUGGCCCCUUCUACGUAUAUUUUGUUACCCCAUUUUUCCUUUUCCUUCAAAAGUAGAUAUGCUAGACCGGAUUGGUCAUCCGAUUCCUGGAAUAUCUUGUCUUUGAAAGUUGUAUGUAAGAUUUCACCCCACUUGUCGUAUUCCGGUGACUGUGGCCCCAUUUUCGCCCAAGUUUCCAUUAAGUCCAUGGACCAUUGACAGUUCCGAAUCAAGAAAACUCCGGCAUUGAUGCUUGUCCAGCUUUGUUGCUCGUAUAAUAACUUUUCCCAACCAUGAAGUACGAAAUUAUGGUCUUUGUAACGAUCCAAAGGAAGUUUGAAGUCCAUGUCGGUGAACGCAGCAUCUGAAUCGACCCACCAGAUCCACUCAGUUUCAGGAUGAGCUAUCAUGGCAGCUUUAAUCGCCGGCAUUUUUGCCCAAAACGACCACAUCUUAGGCUGAAGUAAAACGUUGUUGUAAAAAAUAUCGUACCCGUGGAUUCGGCAGUAGUCUACUUUGUUCUUGAAGAAUCUAAGCAGCAAAUGGUCGCCUAUUGGGUUCUUACACGGCGUCGACUGUGAACCGGAAACCAUCAGAAUCCGUUCCUCUGCUCCGGGGAUGAAAGAGGGAUGCAAAUUCAGCCAUUGCCUUCGUUUCUCGUCCCACUUCUUAAUCGGCUUCUCCAUAGUGUAACUCAAAUCCGGGUCGUCAUAGAAAGUCGGGUCGGGCGGGUCGUACCGUAAAUUGAAGCCUAAUGAAACCGGGUCUACCUGAGUUUUCAAGGCGGAGUUUUGGUCGGCGGAAGUGGUUAAAAAACUGGGAUCGGCAUUUGGACUAGUGCUCAUGAAGGACCAAAAGGCCCAUAUUACUAGCAAAGCCACAAUACUUGCACCAGCAAAGAGAAAUCCAUCAGAGAAAAUAGAAGAAAUUUUACUUCUACAGUUUUGCUUAGCCAUGGAUGUGUAAGAUGUAUGAGUUUGGGGCAACUGAGGCGUUACCAUUUUAUGAGGGAGUGCAUACGUUACCCAGGCAAGCUGGCUUUACGUCUAGUAGCAAUAAAAAAGUUGUCACCAUCUACUGGACAUUGUGUCCAGCUUUGGUUCUGUGAGUGUUAAGAAGAUAGUUCGAAGAGCAAUUUUGGCAGUAACUAAGAAAGCAUACAAAUUCCGUUGAGUAUGUGACGAUAGAAAAGUAGAUAUGGAGAUGGGUGUCGGUGAAGUGAAGUGAGUAGAAACAAGUGUUCAUCACCUCACUAAACUUGCUGCCAUUGUCUGGACUUCAGUCGGUUUGGUGCGG